This 360-nucleotide ribosomal RNA is filed under the name uncultured eukaryote. RNAcentral's name for it is "SSU rRNA". It matches the Rfam family "Eukaryotic small subunit ribosomal RNA", at positions 594 to 945 of the family's 1831-position model. The record is from RNAcentral.
AUAGCGUAUAUUAAAGUUGUUGCAGUUAAAAAGCUCGUAGUUGGAUUUCUGUUUUGAGCGUCCGGUCGGCUCCCUCUGGGAGUGUGUACUUUUGCGACGUUCGAGGCAUUUUUUGUGAGGACGCUUUUCUGCCAUUAAGUUGGUGGUUUGGUGGACUUGCAUCGUUUACUGUGAAAAAAUUAGAGUGUUUAAAGCAGGCGUUUGCUCAUUGAAUACAUUAGCAUGGAAUAAUAAGAUACGACCUUGGUGGUCUAUUUUGUUGGUUUGCACACCAGGGUAAUGAUUAAUAGGGACAGUUGGGGGUAUUCAUAUUUCAGCGUCAGAGGUGAAAUUCUUGGAUCGCUGAAAGAUGAGCUUAGG